UUGGAUGUCUUGGAUACAUAUAUACAUGUUUAUUUGCAUUUGAUAGGGUCUGGAUUAUACAAUUAAAAGUUUGUGGCUAAAUCAAGAGAACCAUAAAGCACAUUUUAAAAAUAUUGGGGUUAACGCGUGAAUAACCAAAACUUGAAGGACCACAGUUGAAAAAAUGAAAUUUCGCCAUUGCAGCCUUGCUCUCGAGCAUAACCCAGCUCACCGACUCAUAGCAGAUCAAACUGGACGACAUCAAUAAGCUCCACGAACCUCAUCCGAUUCCACCCCUUUUCUUUGUUCAUGAUGGCUACAAAAAUGGAGAAAGAUGAAGAAAGACGAACAGGUGGAGAGAAAAUUACAAAAACAGACAAGCGGCGAGGACUCUGGAUUCAUGAUUUUCUUCGACAAUUGAUAAAGAAGAAGGAGAGGGUUUGGUAAAAUUAGGGUUAGAGAAUUGGGGAAAGUAAAUCUGAGAUUCAAAAGUGAUGCUCGAGACGGCUUUUUUUUUAAAAAAAUU
Molecule: long non-coding RNA, 505 nt
Filed under: Brassica napus (rape)
Lineage: Eukaryota; Viridiplantae; Streptophyta; Magnoliopsida; Brassicales; Brassicaceae
Description: long non-coding RNA (BNAP_LNC013148)
Source: RNAcentral